GCUCGAGUGGCGAACGGGUGAGUAACACGUGAGUAACCUGCCCUUGACUUUGGGAUAACUUCAGGAAACUGGGGCUAAUACCGGAUAGGAGCUCCUGCUGCAUGGUGGGGGUUGGAAAGUUUCGGCGGUUGGGGAUGGACUCGCGGCUUGUCAGCUUGUUGGUGGGGUAGUGGCUUACCAAGGCUUUGACGGGUAGCCGGCCUGAGAGGGUGACCGGCCACAUUGGGACUGAGAUACGGCCCAG
Molecule: ribosomal RNA, 244 nt
Filed under: uncultured Actinomycetales bacterium
Lineage: Bacteria; Bacillati; Actinomycetota; Actinomycetes; Actinomycetales
Description: partial 16S ribosomal RNA
Rfam family: Bacterial small subunit ribosomal RNA
Source: RNAcentral